UUGCUGGGGAUUUAGCUGGUAGAGUGCUUGCCUCACAUGCACAAAGCCCUGUGUUCAAUCCCCAGCAUUAAA
This 72-nucleotide transfer RNA is filed under the name Marmota monax (woodchuck). RNAcentral's name for it is "tRNA.Val". Lineage: Eukaryota; Metazoa; Chordata; Mammalia; Rodentia; Sciuridae. The record is from RNAcentral.